AUUUCACCGCUAGAUAGUGACAAAUGUAAUUUCUACAGCUAAUCCAAGAUUCGCGUCCACUGGCCUGCGAUUCUUCACUUUCUGCAUCGGCUUUUGUAUAGAAAUAUUCAAGGAUUGCCGACGAGUGGCUAUAGUGGAUCUAUAGCGGUUGCGUGAAGUAUGUGACAAAGGAUUGGCAAUUCUUGGAUGGUUAAGACUCUGUCAAUGAUAUGGGAAUUUGCCCGGUUAUCCAAAAUUGAUAUAAUUCUUCUGAUGGAUAUCAAUCAUCCUUGAAAUAAUCAACCGGAUUAUGGAGAGCGGAUUUAACAUCUCUCGUCUUCGAGGCUUGCAGAUUACUCCUAACGCCCUUAGCCCCUUGACCUAUUAGGCACUUUUGAAAUAAACCAGAUCCAAGACAUGGCUGUUGCCGAGGAAUUUAGCGAGCUUUGCCGACUAUGUGCUGCUAAGACUAGUCUACUACUUGGCUUACCUAUUUUUGAUAGCGACGGUGAGAUGCGACACAUCGAUCAGAAGAUUUCAGCUUGUCUUCUGCUACAGGUUUCGCUCACCGACAAACUUCCAAAAGUAGUAUGUGAAGAGUGCUACUAUAAGUUGGACCAGCUCUACAAUUUCAGACAAAAGUGUUUGCGCACCGAAGGAAUGUUCUUAGCAAUGCUCAAAGAGGUUGAAGUCUCGCAAGUCCAGUUUAAAGAGGAGUGUGAAAGUGUCGAUCAGAUGCAAGCCAUGCGUGUCAUGGAUGACAUGGAUUUAGCUGGAGGAGAACAGGUUGUCUCUCAGGAGGAGAUUUGUCAAGGUGGAGACAUCCAAGUUGCUCGUAUCAAACUUGACGGUAAUACCGUACGCUUGGUAGACCAGCACAUGCGGAACAUUCAGGACGAGGUAUCUAGUCAGCAAAUCACGAUGCAUCUUGAAGGUAAUAUGACAGUGGUGAGUGAUCUUACAGUUGGAGGAGACCUUGAUCAGCUAGACAUAAAGUAUGUGACGUCCAUAGAACCCAACAGCCAGAACUGUGAAGAGGCAUGUCAAAUUGAUCAAGAAGCAGAAAAUGGCGCAGUUGACAAAUUUGAUAGUGAAGAAGAGAGCGAAGUUGACAAUUCUGGCGAUAGCGAAGGAGAUACACGAAUAGAAGAUGCCUGCCACGACGAUAUAAUGGCAUCGACGAGUGAAGAACAGCGAUGUUCUAACGGAAGUGGCAACGAGACAACGGUGGAAUACACGAAAAUGGCAAAAGAUUCUCUUUUAGAGACGAUUUUGACAAAUCCAAGCAUUGAUGAGACUGGAAAUAGCUGGUACGUCUGUCGGCUUUGCAACGAGGCAGCGACGGAACCUUCGAAUUUAGCUGAACAUUUCGAGGUGCAUUUCUGCAGCUGUGCCUGCGGCAUUUAUUUCACCAGUGUAGAGGCACUCAAUAUUCACAAGCAACAUUGCCAGCCCAGUAAAAUUAAGGAGGUAACAGCUAUCACAAAUUCUGCAAGUGAUGUCAAUGGCUGUGGAGAAAUUAUAAUAGAUGCUUUAGAGGAGGAGAAAAAAUCUGGAGGUACUGCACGGCAAAAAUGGACACCAAAAAUAUGCAGCGAAUGCGGGAAACAGUACAGAACUAACUACAAGCUUCAAGAACACAUGAGAAAACACACUGGGGAAAAACCAUUUCAGUGUCUGCUCUGUGAAAAAGCAUUCCGUAGCAAAAUUGGACUUGCUCAACACACUGCAACGCACACUGGACAGUUCGACUAUACUUGUUCUACCUGUGGGAAAGGAUUUCAGUGCAAAAGUUAUUUAAUCGUUCACCAGAGAGUUCAUUCAGAUCUAAAACCAUACCCAUGUAGCACUUGUGGUCAAAAUUUUAAAACAAAGCAGUCUCUGUUAGACCAUAGAAAUCGUCAUCUCGGUGUUAAACCUUACAUGUGUGAGGUAUGCGGUAAAGGAUUUAUAACGAAAGGCCUUUGUAAGAGCCACCAGAAGAUCCAUUCGGGUAAAGACAAUCGGCAGUAUCCAUGCAUGGUGUGCAACAAGUUAUUUGUAAGUAAAAGCUACCUUAAUACUCAUCUUAGAAUUCACACUGGGGAAAAACCUUACAAAUGCGAGGUGUGCGGAAAAGGUUUUCUAACAAGGGUUGAUUUGAGAAUUCACUCUACGAUGCACACUGGUGAAAAAAGCUUUGUUUGCGAAAUGUGUGGCAAAGCUUUUGCUCGACGCGCAGCUCUCCGAUGCCACCGGAGAUCACACACCGGUGAAAGGCCUUAUAGAUGUGACGUUUGUGGUAAAACUUUCACUCAGUUCAGCCCUAUGGCAAUACACAAAAGAUUGCAUACCGGUGAGAGACCCUACGAGUGUGAUGUCUGCAGGAAAGCCUUUGUGUCAAGAUCAACCAUGACAUCUCAUCGCAAAAAACAUCACUUGUCUAAUGCAACUGACCCUAAGGAAGCUUCUGGACAAACGCAUGAAACAAUGCCUCCUGAGAUCGUUAUCAGGGGUUCAAAUGAUGGGGUACAAAUAACUGCAGAUUGAAGUUUAAGCUAACUGAGAAAUGCACUGACUGAAUACUUGAGGAUAUACGACGAGGUUGAGAACAGGGAGAUUGAUUUUUCCCGGGAGCGUGCUUAUUUUUAUAAAUUUUGAUCCUGGUUGCUUCUUAUACUUUAAAACUUGGAUAUAUCUUAAUCGUUACGUAGUUCAGCGUAUUUUUAGAACAUCGAUCAUCUCAAAGUAACAAAACGUAGUUAAAUAAGCGAUAAUGUUGAUACAAAAAAUUCCUUUCAGCGAAUGCAAAAAACCUUGCAUAUAACUAAUGUGCUAUUAAAAAAUCAAUGAUCCCAGGGUAUAGUAACAAAUACCAUCAUUAGCUAACGUAUUUUUCUUCCAAGUAUUUUUCAGCGUUAAGACGACCGUAAGAAUUCUUUGAGAAUAACAAGAGUUUAGAUUAUUUUCAAACGUAAAUGGUAGUUGAUAGUAAUGAUAAUCAUGGAUCAUUAUAUUAGAUUCUUCCUUGCUCAUUCAGUUGAUCGUUGAGUGGACUCAAUGAUCGAUCCAUUGAUCCAGGAAAUAAAAAAGAGGAAAUAUCCUUGACAAUUUUUUAAUAUAAUUGCUACUGACAGUUUGCUACUGUCUCAGCAGUCUCAGCUAAUUGAGCAGAACCGUUUGAUAAUGUUUCUUAUAUCGUUUGAUAAUUUAAUUUUAAUUUACUUUUAUUUUCAAUGUGAUUGAAGAUGUAUAAAUAGUUUUAUUAAAAACACUAAUAAAACAGAAAAAUAAGAACCCUGAAAAGAAAAACUUCACACCGUUUUUGAAUAUUGCAACGUGUUAUUUUCAAAAAAGAUCUGGAAAUCGGUACGUGCGUUCGUGGUAUGUGCUAUAGUGGAAAUCCUCAGUCAACGAUGGUGGGUUUCUAGCAAGCUGGUUUAAAAAAAGUUUGUACCUUGAUUUGUGAAUUUUCCUGAUAGUACCGAGAGGGAGCACGAUCUUUUAAUUACCGCAUCUUUCCCAGCCCUUGAGGGCGCCUGAUAAUAUGCGAGUGGAGUUAUAGUAUUCCAGAUUUAUUUCUAAUUUUUUUCUGAUUAUAUCCCAUUUUUCCCGAAUAAUUUUCGAUUUUUUAAUUAAUUAUUCAAUUACCACAUCUUCCCAGCCGAAGAAGUGAACACUAGUGCCGAGGGGCGUAACACCGGCGCGCGGCACUCGCGUGAGCUAAGAUUCCAGGUUUCUUGCCCCUUGACUCGACUAGACCCGCCUUACAGCGAAGAUAACAAUCUUCAGUCAACGGAAGAUGCGUUGACUGAUGAUGACUAAGAAGAAUCAGAGUGCAUCCUCAAGAGCAGAGGGGCUAGACUGACAGCUAUAAAAUUGAAUUCAAUCUGGAGAAGAGUCCUAUCAUACUUGGUUGUUUUUUGGCAUGGAUACCAGAAGAGUUGAUCACUGCUAUCCGUUUCAUUCUUCCAGGUUGAACUGUAUUUGUCCCAGGGAAGAAUGCGAAGUCGAAACAACAAAGUCCUUGCGAUAAGUGUCAGAUGUUAUUAUGACACCUCUGUGUACUUUGACGGACAGUCAGUGCAGAUGUUUUGCUGAGAAAGGUCCAGCUGCCCAACCCAAGCAUAUUGUUGCUCUACUUUUGGAAACGACACAGAGAGUUUGAGGGGAAGAAAUCAUACUCCCUAGUACAUGUAUCUACUCAAGAACUGCAGUCAUUCCAUGGUGGCCCUAUUUCUGAACCCCUCUUGAAGUUCAAGAUUCGGAUUCCUGAGAUCAAAAUACAUAAGGAUAGCAUGACAAACCCUUCCAAAAAAAAUCUGGAUCUUCAUCUCAGAUUUUGAGAAAAUUCCAAGGCUAUAGGCUUCCUGUUUUUUUCGGCAAAAAAGUAAAGCAUUUGCUAGAAUAAUUCUAGGACGCUUUUCCUACGUGAAAGAGCGUAUCGAACAAGAGGCCGUCAAUGAAAUUGAGCUGGCGUAAGAUUCCAUCGAGAUUCGGAUUCCUGAGAUCAAAAUACAUAAGGAUAGCAUGACAAACCCUUCCAAAAAAAAUCUGGAUCUUCAUCUCAGAUUUUGAGAAAAUUCCAAGGCUAUAGGCUUACUGUUUUUUUCGGCAAAAAAGUGAAGCAUCUGCCAGAAUAAUUUCGGGACGCUUUUUCUAUGUAAAAAAGCGUAUCGAACGAGAAGCCGUCAAUGAAAUUGAGCUGGCGUAAGAUUCCAUCGAGAUUCGGAUUCCUGAGAUCAAAAUACAUAAGGAUAGCAUGACAAACCCUUCCAAAAAAAAUCUGGAUCUUCAUCUCAGAUUUUGAGAAAAUUCCAAGGCUAUAGGCUUCCUGUUUUUUUCGGCAAAAAAGUAAAGCAUUUGCUAGAAUAAUUCUAGGACGCUUUUCCUACGUGAAAGAGCGUAUCGAACAAGAGGCCGUCAAUGAAAUUGAGCUGGCGUAAGAUUCCAUCGAGAUUCGGAUUCCUGAGAUCAAAAUACAUGAGGAUAGCGUGGGGAACCCUU
Molecule: RNA transcript, 4965 nt
Organism: Athalia rosae (coleseed sawfly)
Lineage: Eukaryota; Metazoa; Arthropoda; Insecta; Hymenoptera; Athaliidae
Gene name: zinc finger protein ZFP2-like
Exons: 9
Source: RefSeq, a predicted model, not a curated record